RNAcentral lists this ribosomal RNA (488 nucleotides) under Bacillus pumilus. RNAcentral's name for it is "bacterial SSU rRNA". It matches the Rfam family "Bacterial small subunit ribosomal RNA", at positions 948 to 1437 of the family's 1533-position model. The record is from RNAcentral. Lineage: Bacteria; Bacillati; Bacillota; Bacilli; Caryophanales; Bacillaceae.
AAUUAGAAGCAACGCGAAGAACCUUACCAGGUCUUGACAUCCUCUGACAACCCUAGAGAUAGGGCUUUCCCUUCGGGGACAGAGUGACAGGUGGUGCAUGGUUGUCGUCAGCUCGUGUCGUGAGAUGUUGGGUUAAGUCCCGCAACGAGCGCAACCCUUGAUCUUAGUUGCCAGCAUUUAGUUGGGCACUCUAAGGUGACUGCCGGUGACAAACCGGAGGAAGGUGGGGAUGACGUCAAAUCAUCAUGCCCCUUAUGACCUGGGCUACACACGUGCUACAAUGGACAGAACAAAGGGCUGCGAGACCGCAAGGUUUAGCCAAUCCCAUAAAUCUGUUCUCAGUUCGGAUCGCAGUCUGCAACUCGACUGCGUGAAGCUGGAAUCGCUAGUAAUCGCGGAUCAGCAUGCCGCGGUGAAUACGUUCCCGGGCCUUGUACACACCGCCCGUCACACCACGAGAGUUUGCAACACCCGAAGUCGGUGAGGUA